This 323-nucleotide unclassified non-coding RNA is filed under the name Hevea brasiliensis (rubber tree). The record is from RNAcentral. Lineage: Eukaryota; Viridiplantae; Streptophyta; Magnoliopsida; Malpighiales; Euphorbiaceae.
GGCAAUUUACUGAAAGGUCUCGCCCAAUUUGGUGGAUUAAAGAGCUUGAAUCAGAGUGAGUGCCACUAUUCUUCUGCUUAUCUGAGUGUUCUUCUUGACAGAGCGAAAGAUCGUGAAGGCACUGCAUGGCUUCUUCCUUCUCUUGGUCAUCAAGCAGCUUGGAUGACUUCCUCAAACCAGUGUCUGCUACAUCCUCCAAAGGACGCUUUCCCUUUGAGUGUUCAAUAACUUGGAAAGCAUAGUAUAUCCACUUGCUCGCUUGCUCGCACGCACAAGGCAAGUCCCUUGAAACAUGAUACGAUUCCUCCAACAUGACGCUUGAU